Molecule: ribosomal RNA, 440 nt
Filed under: uncultured bacterium
Lineage: Bacteria
Description: partial 16S ribosomal RNA
Rfam family: Bacterial small subunit ribosomal RNA
Source: RNAcentral
CCUACGGGAGGCAGCAGUGGGGGAUAUUGCACAAUGGGGGAAACCCUGAUGCAGCGACGCCGCGUGGGUGAAGAAGCGCCUCGGCGCGUAAAGCCCUGUCAGCAGGGAAGAAAAUGACGGUACCUGAAGAAGAAGCCCCGGCUAACUACGUGCCAACAGCCGCGGUAAUACGUAGGGGGACAGCGUUAUCCGGAUUUACUGGGUGUAAAGGGGGCGCAGACGGCGAUGCAAGCCAGGAGUGAAAGCCCGGGGCCCCACCCCGGGACUGCUCUUGGAACUGCGUGGCUAGAGUGCAGGAGGGGCAGGCGGAAUUCCUGGUGUAGCGGUGAAAUGCGUAGAUAUCAGGAGGAACACCGGUGGCGAAGGCGGCCUGCUGGACUGCAACUGACGUUGAGGCCCGAAAGCGUGGGGAGCAAACAGGAUUAGAUACCCUUGUAGUC